RNAcentral lists this long non-coding RNA (423 nucleotides) under Theobroma cacao (cacao). RNAcentral describes it as "long non-coding RNA (TCAC_LNC005674)". The record is from RNAcentral. Lineage: Eukaryota; Viridiplantae; Streptophyta; Magnoliopsida; Malvales; Malvaceae.
GAAUAGCUCCUCCUUGACCGAGGUGGUGUAGGACUUCGAGAAAGAGAACGGUAAUGGUGUCGUCUAUGGUAUCGAUCAGCCGGUGAAUCAUACCUCGAGUAAUAUGGUGAAUAGGACCUGUCAUGCCUCCUACCAUAUCGAUCUUCUGGUGAGUAGGAACGAUCCCGUCUUCUGCAGUACCGUUCGUCAGGCGAGUAGGAACGAUCCCACCUACGGUAGUAUCGGUCAUCUGGCGAGUAGCACCGAUCACGCCUUCUGUAGUACCGAUCAUCAGGAGAGUAGGAAUGGUCACGUCUUCUGUAGUAGCAGUCAUCUGGUGAUCUGCUGUGAGGGGAGCGAGAACGUGAGCAAGACCUGUGAGGAGGGGAAUACGAUCUGCUCCUACUCCUACCAGAUGAAUAACGAGGUGACCGACUCCGGCUC